RNAcentral lists this ribosomal RNA (253 nucleotides) under uncultured bacterium. Its description in RNAcentral is "partial 16S ribosomal RNA". It matches the Rfam family "Bacterial small subunit ribosomal RNA", at positions 524 to 776 of the family's 1533-position model. The record is from RNAcentral.
GCCAGAGGAGGCGAUCGUUAUCCGGAAUCACUGGGCGUAAAGCGUCUGUAGGUGGUGAUGCAAGUCACUGGUGCAAAACUCUGGCUCAACCGGAGGAAAGCCAGUGAAACUGCAUGACUAGAGUGUGGGAGAGGUAGAAGGAAUUCCCUGAGUAGCGGUGAAAUGCGUAGAUACAGGGAAGAACACCGGAGGCGAAAGCGUUCUACUGGAACACAACUGACACUGAGAGACGAAAGCUAGGGGAGCGAAUGGG